RNAcentral lists this transfer RNA (73 nucleotides) under Ictidomys tridecemlineatus (thirteen-lined ground squirrel). Its description in RNAcentral is "Spermophilus tridecemlineatus (thirteen-lined ground squirrel) tRNA". It matches the Rfam family "tRNA". Rfam says of the family: Transfer RNA (tRNA) molecules are approximately 80 nucleotides in length. Their secondary structure includes four short double-helical elements and three loops (D, anti-codon, and T loops). The record is from Rfam by way of RNAcentral. Lineage: Eukaryota; Metazoa; Chordata; Mammalia; Rodentia; Sciuridae.
GGGGUUGUGGCUCAGUGGUAGAGCGCUUGCCUAGCAUGCAUGAGGCACUCACUGGGUUCAAUCCCCAGCACCA